CAAAACAUAGCUAACUGCCAUAAUAAGAGUUAAUUAUAGUAUAGUUAGUGAAGCCUGCCCGCUGAUACUUUUCAAAUUUGAUUAGAAAGUAUUGAAGGGCCGCGGUAACUCUGACCGUGCUAAGGUAGCAUAAUCAAUCGUCACUUAAUUGGUGACUAGAAUGAAAGGCUAAACGAGCAUUCCUCUGUCUUAAAUUUAAACUUAGUGAAAUUAAACUACCCGUUAAGAUUCGGGUAUUUCUUGAUUAGACGAGAAGACCCCGUUGAGCUUUACCUAAGCUUUUUAUUUAAAUGGUUCUCCUUGAUAAGAAAACAAUUUAACUUAGAAGAGCGACAGGUUUGGUUGGGGCGACCGCCCAAAUAAAAGAAACUUGGGUAAACAAGGGUUAAACCUAUAAUAGAUACAGCUUUAUUAAUAGACAGACAUGUUAAUUAAAAAGGACUUCUCCUUUGCUAUAGUGACCCGUUACUAAUUGGUAGCGAAUCUGAAUAAAAGUUACCG
This 501-nucleotide ribosomal RNA is filed under the name Tamoya haplonema. RNAcentral's name for it is "partial 16S ribosomal RNA". It matches the Rfam family "Bacterial large subunit ribosomal RNA", at positions 1809 to 2468 of the family's 2925-position model. Lineage: Eukaryota; Metazoa; Cnidaria; Cubozoa; Carybdeida; Tamoyidae. The record is from RNAcentral.